AAGACUAUGUAAACCACCAAACUGGCCA
Molecule: non-coding RNA, 28 nt
Filed under: Rattus norvegicus (Norway rat)
Lineage: Eukaryota; Metazoa; Chordata; Mammalia; Rodentia; Muridae
Source: RNAcentral